RNAcentral lists this ribosomal RNA (496 nucleotides) under uncultured bacterium. RNAcentral's name for it is "partial 16S ribosomal RNA". It matches the Rfam family "Bacterial small subunit ribosomal RNA", at positions 29 to 507 of the family's 1533-position model. The record is from RNAcentral.
AUGAACGCCGGCGGCGUGCCUAAUACAUGCAAGUCGAGCGAACAGACGAGGAGCUUGCUCCUCUGACGUUAGCGGCGGACGGGUGAGUAACACGUGGAUAACCUACCUAUAAGACUGGGAUAACUUCGGGAAACCGGAGCUAAUACCGGAUAAUAUAUUGAACCGCAUGGUUCAAUAGUGAAAGACGGUUUUGCUGUCACUUAUAGAUGGAUCCGCGCCGCAUUAGCUAGUUGGUAAGGUAACGGCUUACCAAGGCAACGAUGCGUAGCCGACCUGAGAGGGUGAUCGGCCACACUGGAACUGAGACACGGUCCAGACUCCUACGGGAGGCAGCAGUAGGGAAUCUUCCGCAAUGGGCGAAAGCCUGACGGAGCAACGCCGCGUGAGUGAUGAAGGUCUUCGGAUCGUAAAACUCUGUUAUUAGGGAAGAACAAAUGUGUAAGUAACUAUGCACGUCUUGACGGUACCUAAUCAGAAAGCCACGGCUAACUACGUG